GACGUAGGGCGCGAGCGUUGUCCGGAUUUAUUGGGCGUAAAGAGCUCGUAGGCGGCUUGUUGCGUCAGCUGUGAAAACCCGCAGCUCAACUGUGGGCUUGCAGCUGAUACGGGCAGACUGGAGUUCGGCAGGGGAGACUGGAAUUCCUGGUGUAGCGGUGAAAUGCGCAGAUAUCAGGAGGAACACCGGUGGCGAAGGCGGGUCUCUGGGCCGAUACUGACGCUGAGGAGCGAAAGCGUGGGGAGCGAACAGG
RNAcentral lists this ribosomal RNA (253 nucleotides) under uncultured bacterium. RNAcentral describes it as "partial 16S ribosomal RNA". It matches the Rfam family "Bacterial small subunit ribosomal RNA", at positions 524 to 776 of the family's 1533-position model. The record is from RNAcentral.